UGGGGAAUAUUGCACAAUGGGGGAAACCCUGAUGCAGCGACGCCGCGUGAGCGAAGAAGGCUUUCGAGUCGUAAAGCUCUGUCCUAUGAGAAGAUAAUGACGGUAUCAUAGGAGGAAGCCCUGGCUAAAUACGUGCCAGCAGCCGCGGUAAUACGUAUGGGGCGAGCGUUGUCCGGAAUUAUUGGGCGUAAAGGGUACGUAGGUGGUUUUUUAAGUCAGGUGUCAAAGCGUGGAGCUUAACUCCAUUAAGCACUUGAAACUGAAAGACUUGAGUGAAGGAGAGGAAAGUGGAAUUCCUAGUGUAGCGGUGAAAUGCGUAGAUAUUAGGAGGAAUACCGGGGGCGAAGGCGACUUUCUGGACUUUUACUGACGCUCAGGUACGAAAGCGUGGGGAGCAAACAGG
Molecule: ribosomal RNA, 403 nt
Filed under: Verrucomicrobiota bacterium
Lineage: Bacteria; Pseudomonadati; Verrucomicrobiota
Description: Verrucomicrobia bacterium partial 16S ribosomal RNA
Rfam family: Bacterial small subunit ribosomal RNA
Source: RNAcentral